RNAcentral lists this ribosomal RNA (468 nucleotides) under uncultured bacterium. Its description in RNAcentral is "partial 16S ribosomal RNA". It matches the Rfam family "Bacterial small subunit ribosomal RNA", at positions 28 to 507 of the family's 1533-position model. The record is from RNAcentral.
GACGAACGCUGGCGGCGUGCUUAACACAUGCAAGUCGAACGGAAAGGCCCUGCUUUUGUGGGGUGCUCGAGUGGCGAACGGGUGAGUAACACGUGAGUAACCUGCCCUUGACUUUGGGAUAACUUCAGGAAACUGGGGCUAAUACCGGAUAGGAGCUCCUGCUGCAUGGUGGGGGUUGGAAAGUUUCGGCGGUUGGGGAUGGACUCGCGGCUUAUCAGCUUGUUGGUGGGGUAGUGGCUUACCAAGGAUUUGACGGGUAGCCGGCCUGAGAGGGUGACCGGCGACAUUGGGACUGAGAUACGGCCCAGACUCCUACGGGAGGCAGCAGUGGGGAAUAUUGCACAAUGGGAGGAAGCCUGAUGAAGCAACGCCGCGUGCGGGAUGACGGCCUUCGGGUUGUAAACCGCUUUCGCCUGUGACGAAGCGUGAGUGACGGUAAUGGGUAAAGAAGCACCGGCUAACUACGUG